AUAUCAAUAAGCGGAGGAAAAGAAACUAACAAGGAUUCCCUUAGUAACUGCGAGUGAAGAGGGAAGAGCUCAAAUUUGAAAUCUGGCGGUCCUUCGGCUGUCCGAGUUGUAGUUUAGAGAAGUGCUAUCCGCGCUGGCCCGUGCAUAAGUUUCUUGGAAAAGAACAUCAUAGAGGGUGACAAUCCCGUCUUUGGCACGGAUCCCAGGGCUUUUGUGAUGCGCUCUCGACGAGUCGAGUUGUUUGGGAAUGCAGCUCUAAAUGGGUGGUAAAUUCCAUCUAAAGCUAAAUAUUGGCGAGAGACCGAUAGCGAACAAGUACCGUGAGGGAAAGAUGAAAAGAACUUUGAAAAGAGAGUUAAACAGUACGUGAAAUUGUUGAAAGGGAAACGCUUGAAGUCAGUCGUGUCCUCUAGGGAUCAAGUCAGCUCUGGCUGGCCGUACUUCCUGGUCGACGGGUCAGCAUCAGUUUUGACCGUCGGAAAAGGGCUUGAGGAAUGUGGCACUCUCUUUACCGGGGGUGUGUUAUAGACUCUUGUCUUGAAUACGAUGGUCGGGACUGAGGAACCGCAGCACGGCCUUUAUGGUUUUCGGGGCUUAGGCUCACGUUUAGCGUGCUUAGGAUGCUGGCAUAAUGGCCUUAAGCGA
RNAcentral lists this ribosomal RNA (645 nucleotides) under uncultured fungus. Its description in RNAcentral is "eukaryotic LSU rRNA". It matches the Rfam family "Eukaryotic large subunit ribosomal RNA", at positions 40 to 647 of the family's 3401-position model. The record is from RNAcentral. Lineage: Eukaryota; Fungi.